UCAUCCGACUCUCAGAAUAAGAAUCGGCCGCCGUUUGCCGACGAUGAUUUGGAAGGGAUCGUCUCCCUAUCGACUAUGGCUUCGUGUUCAUAUGCUGCUUCGGGUUAUCAAGCGGGGGGAGAAUCCUCAGUUUCGAAGAUCCAGUUCUUCAUCCGGAUGAUCGCUGAAGGUAAACAUGUUGUUGUCUAUGCUAGCUCGGAGGAUACUGUGGAGUCUAUUAUGGAGAGAAUUCAGGUGAUCACUG
This 244-nucleotide long non-coding RNA is filed under the name Linum usitatissimum (flax). RNAcentral's name for it is "long non-coding RNA (LUSI_LNC000500)". Lineage: Eukaryota; Viridiplantae; Streptophyta; Magnoliopsida; Malpighiales; Linaceae. The record is from RNAcentral.